This 434-nucleotide ribosomal RNA is filed under the name uncultured Skermanella sp. Its description in RNAcentral is "bacterial SSU rRNA". It matches the Rfam family "Bacterial small subunit ribosomal RNA", at positions 341 to 792 of the family's 1533-position model. The record is from RNAcentral. Lineage: Bacteria; Pseudomonadati; Pseudomonadota; Alphaproteobacteria; Rhodospirillales; Azospirillaceae.
ACGGGAGGCAGCAGUGGGGAAUAUUGGACAAUGGGCGCAAGCCUGAUCCAGCAAUGCCGCGUGAGUGAUGAAGGCCUUCGGGUUGUAAAGCUCUUUCGCACGCGACGAUGAUGACGGUAGCGUGAGAAGAAGCCCCGGCUAACUUCGUGCCAGCAGCCGCGGUAAUACGAAGGGGGCUAGCGUUGUUCGGAAUUACUGGGCGUAAAGGGCGCGUAGGCGGUACUUCAAGUCAGGCGUGAAAGCCCCGGGCUCAACCUGGGAACCGCGCUUGAGACUGGAGAACUUGAGUUCGGGAGAGGAUGGUGGAAUUCCCAGUGUAGAGGUGAAAUUCGUAGAUAUUGGGAAGAACACCGAUGGCGAAGGCAGCCAUCUGGACCGACACUGACGCUGAGGCGCGAAAGCGUGGGGAGCAAACAGGAUUAGAUACCCUGGUA